RNAcentral lists this ribosomal RNA (465 nucleotides) under Vreelandella stevensii. RNAcentral describes it as "partial 16S ribosomal RNA". It matches the Rfam family "Bacterial small subunit ribosomal RNA", at positions 338 to 795 of the family's 1533-position model. The record is from RNAcentral. Lineage: Bacteria; Pseudomonadati; Pseudomonadota; Gammaproteobacteria; Oceanospirillales; Halomonadaceae.
CCUACGGGAGGCAGCAGUGGGGAAUAUUGGACAAUGGGGGGAACCCUGAUCCAGCCAUGCCGCGUGUGUGAAGAAGGCCCUCGGGUUGUAAAGCACUUUCAGUGAGGAAGAACGCGUUGAGGUUAAUAACCAUCAGCAAAGACGUCACUCACAGAAGAAGCACCGGCUAACUCCGUGCCAGCAGCCGCGGUAAUACGGAGGGUGCGAGCGUUAAUCGGAAUUACUGGGCGUAAAGCGCACGUAGGCGGCUUGAUAAGCCGGUUGUGAAAUCCCCGGGCUCAACCUGGGAACUGCAUCCGGAACUGUCAAGCUAGAGUGCAGGAGAGGAAGGUAGAAUUCCCGGUGUAGCGGUGAAAUGCGUAGAGAUCGGGAGGAAUACCAGUGGCGAAGGCGGCCUUCUGGACUGACACUGACGCUGAGGUGCGAAAGCGUGGGUAGCAAACAGGAUUAGAUACCCUAGUAGUC